RNAcentral lists this ribosomal RNA (560 nucleotides) under uncultured bacterium. RNAcentral's name for it is "bacterial SSU rRNA". It matches the Rfam family "Bacterial small subunit ribosomal RNA", at positions 8 to 571 of the family's 1533-position model. The record is from RNAcentral.
AGAGUUUGAUCCUGGCUCAGGAUGAACGCUAGCGGCAGGCUUAACACAUGCAAGUCGAGGGGUAUAGUAGCAAUACUAGAGACCGGCGCACGGGUGCGUAACGCGUAUGCAAUCUACCUUUUGCAGAGGGAUAGCCCAGAGAAAUUUGGAUUAAUACCUCAUAGUAUAGUGAUACCGCAUGGUGCUACUAUUAAAGUCACAACGGCAAAAGAUGAGCAUGCGUCCCAUUAGCUAGUUGGUAAGGUAACGGCUUACCAAGGCAACGAUGGGUAGGGGUCCUGAGAGGGAGAUCCCCCACACUGGUACUGAGACACGGACCAGACUCCUACGGGAGGCAGCAGUGAGGAAUAUUGGACAAUGGGCGCAAGCCUGAUCCAGCCAUGCCGCGUGCAGGAUGACGGUCCUAUGGAUUGUAAACUGCUUUUAUACGAGAAGAAACACUCCGACGUGUCGGAGCUUGACGGUAUCGUAAGAAUAAGGAUCGGCUAACUCCGUGCCAGCAGCCGCGGUAAUACGGAGGAUCCAAGCGUUAUCCGGAAUCAUUGGGUUUAAAGGGUCCG